UACGUAGGGUGCGAGCGUUAAUCGGAAUUACUGGGCGUAAAGUGUGCGCAGGCGGCAAAGCAAGUCGAGUGUGAAAGCCCCGGGCUUAACUUGGGAAUUGCAUUUGAGACUGCGUAGCUAGGGUGCGGAAGAGGGAAGCGGAAUUUCCGGUGUAGCGGUGAAAUGCGUAGAUAUCGGAAGGAACACCAGUGGCGAAAGCGGCUUCCUGGUCCAGCACCGACGUUCAGGCACGAAAGCGUGGGGAGCAAACAGG
RNAcentral lists this ribosomal RNA (253 nucleotides) under uncultured bacterium. RNAcentral's name for it is "partial 16S ribosomal RNA". It matches the Rfam family "Bacterial small subunit ribosomal RNA", at positions 524 to 776 of the family's 1533-position model. The record is from RNAcentral.